UCAGUGGUGGUUCAGGGGUAGAAUUCUCACCUUCUGUAUGGGAGACCUGGGUUCAAUUCCCAGCCAAUGCA
RNAcentral lists this transfer RNA (71 nucleotides) under Loxodonta africana (African savanna elephant). It matches the Rfam family "tRNA". Rfam says of the family: Transfer RNA (tRNA) molecules are approximately 80 nucleotides in length. Their secondary structure includes four short double-helical elements and three loops (D, anti-codon, and T loops). Lineage: Eukaryota; Metazoa; Chordata; Mammalia; Proboscidea; Elephantidae. The record is from Rfam by way of RNAcentral.